Rhodamnia argentea is the source of this 304-nucleotide long non-coding RNA. RefSeq lists it as uncharacterized. Lineage: Eukaryota; Viridiplantae; Streptophyta; Magnoliopsida; Myrtales; Myrtaceae. The record is from RefSeq and is a predicted model, not a curated record. The transcript has 2 exons.
AGAGCCUUUCUUGGAUUCCAAUGCUCUGCUCGAACGAAUUAAAUAGCCAUUUCUUCCCCCCUCCCCCUCUCUCUUACCUGCACACAUUUUGCCUUUGCUUCUUGCAACAGCCCAAAAGAAAGAGCAGAGUUUUCUCUCUCAUUCAGCUCCUGUUGCUCGGAUCUGUCAAGCAACAUUCCCUCCCUUCCCCCCCUUCCAUUAUUGUGUACCCCUGCUUCAACUCCAAGUCAUGAGUAAAGAAGAGAUUUUGAAGAUCCAGACCUGCGUUGUGAACAUACACUGUGACGGGUGUAAGCAGAAGAUU